RNAcentral lists this long non-coding RNA (956 nucleotides) under Mytilus galloprovincialis (Mediterranean mussel). The record is from RNAcentral. Lineage: Eukaryota; Metazoa; Mollusca; Bivalvia; Mytilida; Mytilidae.
CUUAUUAGGUCUUUCCACCUUUCCGUGGAAAGACCUAUUGAAUUUGUUCUGAUUAUUAUUAUUAUUAUUAUUAUUUUUUUUUUUUUUUUCUUCCGCCUAAUUUUUUUUCUUGCGUAUUAUUGAUGUUUCAAAAGAUGUCGCUUAGAUAUUUGGAAUAUAGUAUCGUAUAGUUUAUACGCUUUAAAACUUUACAACUGUGUAACAAAAUACUUUACGUUGUAAGAGUUAUCUCCCCAAACACUGUUUUUCUUGUGGCCACUACUCCUUCGCAACCGUUAAAGAUUACGACAAAUUUAUUUUACCAAAUUGCUCGUUACAUCUUCAGGAUUAGGAUAUUCAUUUGGACCGAAGCUUUACGGAGACUCCAUAUGAGAGUUAUUCCCCCUUUUCCAUUUAAUUAAGUGAUAUGCAUUUCUAAAUGGUAAACCAUAAGUGAUAAAGACAUAGGGUCUUUAGAUUUGUGGUCCUUGGUCGAAAAUAAUAAAAAUGAGGUCAAGGUCAAAGGUCAAGGUCAUAUUCUAAAUUUUGAUUUUGGCUUAUUUUCAUUUAUUUUCAAAUACCUUAUGACAUAUCGACAAAUAAUUUUUCAUAAAUUGUUAGUUGCGACAUGUCCUUACUUGUAUAUUUUGAUUGAAAGGGUGCGCAGACAAUAAAUGGGAGUUUUUGCCCAUCUUACAUUUAGAAUUACGCGUAAAGUGAUAUUACUAAUAAACCAAACAUAUUAAAGAACUUGGGUCUUUUGAUUUAAGGUCCUUGGUUUGUGAACUUGAAAUUGAGGUCAAGGUCAUAGGUUGAUAUGACGUUCUAGAUUUUGACCUUUGCUUUAAAUUCAUAUAAAUACAUCAUAAAGCCAUAGGAACUAACAUUUUAAACUGAUUUUUAAUAUUUCAAUAUCAAAAUAGAUCUUUACUAGUGGAAAGACCUACAAUUGUUCUCUGAACAAUUGGUUUUUAAUU